Molecule: long non-coding RNA, 2946 nt
Filed under: Sus scrofa (pig)
Lineage: Eukaryota; Metazoa; Chordata; Mammalia; Artiodactyla; Suidae
Description: lncRNA (ENSSSCG00005015346.1)
Source: RNAcentral
UUUUUUUUUUUUUGUCUUUUUAGGGCCACACCUGAAGCAUAUGGAAGUUCCGGGCUAGGGGUUGAAUCGGAGCUGUGGAUGCUGGCCUACACCACAGCCACAGCAACUUAGCAUCCGAGCCACAUCCUCGUCCUUCACCACAGCUUACUACAACGUCAGAUCCUUAACCCACAGAGUGAGGCCAAGAAUUGAACCUGCAUCCUCAUGGAUUCUAGUCGGAUUUGUUUCUACUGAGCCAUGAUUCAUUUCUGCUGAGCCACAAUGGGAACUUCUCAAUUCUGCAUUCUUCUAAUCAGCUGCACCAUCAUAAAUUUUAGAAUCCGGAUGUCUAGUUUUCUAAACUUGUUCUUUGCUAGUAUAGGUUUUCUGAUAUAAAUUUUAUAAUCUGUCAAUUUCUAAAAAGUUCUCAAGGAUCCUGACUGAGAUUUCACCAUCUCUAUGGAGCAAUUUUGGGGAAAUCUACAUCGUAAUAUUGAUGUCAAUACAUAAACAUGGUAUAUCUUUCCAUUUAUUUGGGCCUUCUCUAGUAUUUCUCAGCAACGUCUUAUAGUUUUCAUCAAAAAGCCUUAUACUUGUAUUUAUGCCGAGGUAUUUCAUGGUUUGAGGUCUCUUGUAUUAUUAUUUUCUUUACAAUCAUGACGACUGGAUGGAGGUACCGAUGUCUCGUUUUGGUUUCUAUUUGUAUUUCCCUGAUGACCAGUGAGGUUGGGCAUCUUUUCAUGUGUAUUAACCAAUGGAGCUUCUCUUUUGUCUGUUGCCUUAGACCACUUGGCCAUCCUGACAUGCUUUGGAGCUUUUCUUUUGGAAUGUGCUUGUUGACGUGUUUAGGUCACAUCAACAUAAAUGGUCUGCCUUUCCCUUCUUUAUUUGUAAGGAUUCUUUACCUAUUCUGAAUACAGUCCAUUUUCAGGGUGGGUAUGUUGGAAAUAUCUUCUUCUGCCCUGUUGCUGACCUCUUUACUCUCCUGAUGAGCAUCAGUACAAACUGACCAGUUCACCCUGAGUUCAGCUGUGGAGACAUCAAUCUCUUCCAAUUCUGGAGGAAAACACGUUUGUGUGGAAUUCACUGCUAGACAGGAUAGCUAUUCACUGCACGUUAUGGAGAGUUUCAGAGAUUUUCGAAGAGCAACUCUAACCUCUACGUUUCCCCUUACACGCUGCCUGGAAAGCCAUCCCCUAAGUCAUGAGUCUACUGAGGUGUUCCAGACUUUAUGAGAAAGCCAAAAAAGGUGUGAGGUGCAGCCCUUGAUCUCCAGACACUCAAAAUUUAGGUAAGGAAACAGAUCCCGUAUUACAGCACCAAGGAACAAAGAUAAUUCCUUGAAUAUCACCUGCCUUUUCCAUGCUUUUUUUGGGGAAGCUCUUUCCUCUCUGUCUAGAAUGCCCUUUCCACUUCCCCAUUUCUCUUUCCAAAUGGAGCUCAAAUAUCACCUCCCCUUCAUAUAUUUCUCUCACUUUGGUCAGUCCUCAGCUGUGUCUCUGACACUGCUCUGGUUCAGCCCCUGUUUCUUCUCCAGCACUCUAAGCCCACCACACUCUCUCUCACCACCCCAGCCCCCCUGUCCAAGGUCCUGAAUUUCGGAGUGGGCGCCUUCCAUCCAGGAACCCGGAGGAGGUAAGUGCCUCUCCUGUGACUACUUCAUCCCAAAGAGCUCAUCCCACCACAACUGGGCACGUCAGGGCUGGACCUUCCACCCUCCUCAGGCAGGUGAUGAAAGACAGGGAAGGGCAGAGCCCAGCCCUGCCGAACAUGUGCAUCAAACAGUUAGCAAUGAGAUCAAGACACACCCCAGACAGUCCAGCACCGGAAAGAGUUAUGUCUUGGACCCUCCUGCUUCCUCCUGGCUCUGACUGUGUUUCUGCAUACACCCUGCUCCUGACUUUCUCCAUUCGCCUCUUCUUUAUGGCCUUGACGCCAGCGUAUUUUCUCUAGUUUUGCUCUUGCCACUUUGAGGACGCAUCAGGCUCUUCUGACUCCUGGCAAACACAGGCCCUGGUCCUCUAGACAGAGCAAUGGAGAGAUGAUUCUUUUUAAUUUUUUUGCCUUUUUUUUAGGGCCGAACCCACGGCACAUGGAGGUUCCCAGGCUUGGGGUCAAAUCGGAGCUGUAGCUGCUGGCCUACACCAGAGCCACAGCAACUAGGGAUCUGAGCUGCAUCUGCGACCUACACCACAGCUCACGUCAAUGCCUGAUCCUUAACCCACUGAGCGAGUCUGGGGAUUGAACCUUUGAGGUCAUGGAUACCAGUCAUAUUCAUUUCUGCUGAGCCACAAUGGGAACUCCAGAGAAAUGAUUCUUGAAUGUACAUUGUAAAACACCAAGUAUAGCUGAUUCAUGCCAUGUGAGGACCUUAGCCCUAAAUGUGUACAUGUGUGUGGGGAAGAUAUGUAUGCAUAUGUGUGUGUAAGCAAUAUUUAUCUUGCUAUUUUCAGGUUUGUUUUUUGUUUUUUUUUUUUGUCUUUUCCAGGGCCGCACCUGCGGCAUAUGGAGGUUCCCAGGCUUGGGGUCAAAUCGGAGCUGUAGCCGUUGGCCUAUACCACAACCACAGCAACGCCAGAUCUGAGCCUCGUCUGCGACCUACACCACAGCUCACGGCCACGCCGGAUCCUUAACACACUGAGCAAGGCCAGGGAUCAAACCUGCAUCCUCAUGGUUCCUAGUCGGAUUCGAUUCCACUGCGUCACAGCGGGAACUGCUUCUAGCACAUUUUUAGGCAACACAUAAUCUCCCCAGAUUUAGGUGAAAAAGGAACACUGCCACUUACAAAUCUCUUCUGCUGUAAACCUGUGUUCAAAUUAUUUCCUUCAAGGAAAAUCUAGGGCAUCAUAUUUUUAAAACUCUGCUUUUAGUAUGGUAAUACUUGUAUACUGCAACACCUAAGUGAUCAGCCCCCCAAGGAGGCUUUUAAAUCAAUGUAUUUAUGAUAUUAUUUUACUUUUUUAAAAA